CAAUAUUCGUAACGUCAGCGGCAUAAUGGUGAGAAAUAUUUUCUAACAAUGUUAACUUUUUUAUCGCACUAUGUUUGUAAAAAAUAUGUUUCAUGAUAAACGAAGUUUAUGAAUUUCCUCUCAUGUUUCUUUUGUUUGAAUAACCAAUGAAGUUUUACUAGAGGGUGGAGGGAGCAGGAACAUCUUAACAUUGUUCUCUUGAGCAACACAACAAUGGUAAAACGAAUCUUCUUGAGCAACUCUCUUUGGAAACUAUAAAUCAUUUUUGGUACAAGUUAUUUAUGAACAAAACGUAAUUUGUUUUUAAUGCAUUAUUUCCCCUGUUUAUUACAACUGUAGAAGUUAUUUAUGAUUUGAGUUAAUGAACUUUCGAUUUUAUAUUUAUUUUAUUGUUGAAUGAUGAAAGAGGUGUACCAAAUAAGCAUAUCUAGAAGUAUAUAUAUAUAUAUAUAUAUAAAUUGUGCUCACAAGGGUAGAACCAAUCUCACUUAUAUGGAACUUUGACUAGUUAAUUUUUUUCUCGCAUUAUGGUUACAAGGUCAAUACUAAUUCAAAAAAAAGUUUAUGAAAACUCUCUCAUGUGUCUUUUGCCGUUGACCAAUUGAUGAAGUAUGGCAAGUAAUGCUAUCGGAGCAUCUUGAAGAAUUUAUUCUAGUAGAAGGUCCAACUCAGCUUCCUUGAGGCAUUCCACAAAAGGGUAGAAUCGAAUAGAAAAUGUGAUAAUUUACAAACAUUGCUCUCUUUGUAAAAUAGACCUUCUUAUUCUUAUGACUAAUACGAAAAAAAUAAAAAAAUCACAUCCUUCUUUUUAAAAAAUAGGAAUUUAUUCCAAGAAUAUUUGUAAUAUCCCUCUUUGAAUAUGGAUCCAAGGACUCCAAUUUGUUAUCCCUAAUAUGACAUGGCCAACUAAAGAAACAUUAUAAUUUCGCUUGUGACUUAAGUAAAUCCAUUGGACAUAUGCAAAAUUGAUUAUAUAUCCGAUGGUUUGAGUUGAAUCCUACCACAUGGAUGUUGUAGGAUGGCGUUGGGUGGUUUGGAGGAGUCUAUUACGUAUUGGAGCCUAAUGUCGCUUAUUUUUAUUGGAUUUAAUCAACUUUGACAUUUGGUGAAGUGUGAUUGAAUACUCAGUAUCGUACUUCUCUGAUAGUCAUCUUGGAUUGAAACUAACUACACCUAGUUUCUCCAUAUAACCCAUUCAAUUAUAUUGAGUGUUGUUAUCAAGAUUGCUAGGUGCAAAAAGUUGGUUGCCAUUCCUUUAGUCCGAGGCGCAAGCCGCUAGCCUAGAUGCUAGCGGUAGCCGAAUGAGGUGCAACAUUAUAUAUUUUAUGGUCUAUAUAGGUAGAAACUAUUCGCUUCAGUUUCUUUGGUUGUCCAUUGUUUUUUUUCUAGCUAUAGUAGCUUCUCUCUUGUUCUUCAUAUUUUCUAUAUCAGUCACAUCACCUAUGUUUUUUGAUUAGAUGUUGUAACUAGUCUAUUUGGUUUAGAUUUUGGCAUUGAUACCGACCAAAUAGAACUGGAUGAUUUGUCUAGAGUGUUUAGCCCUGGAUGUAACUACAUAUGGAUAAACCUUGGAUAGAGGGCCCACCAUAAAAUCCAUGGAAACGGCUUCAGACCAUGAUGCAUACUGCAUAGGUGAUGACAGUCCAGAAUUAUAUCCUCUUCAAGUAGGAAAAAAAUAUAAACAUUGGAUGGGGACCGCACCAAAAAAUCCAUGGAAAUUACUUCAGGCAUGGAUGCAUACCGCCUAUUUAACACCUGUCCAGAUUUUUGACCGUUCAAGUAGAAAAAUAAAAUAAACUCUGGAUGGAGGCGCACCACAAAAUGUAUAGAAAAUUCUUUAGGUCUGGAUGCAUCCAACCCUUGAACUCGACAAACAAAAAUAAACAUUUGGAAAUAGGGAGUACCAUAAAAUCCAUUGUAAUUGCUUCAGGCCUGGAUGCAUAUGAUGACUGUCCAGAUAUUUGGCCCAUUAAAGUCAGCAAACAUAGUCAACUUCGGAAGGAGGGCGUACUACAAGAGCCACGGAAACUGGUUGAGGCAUGGAACAUACUGUUUACAUGACGACUAGCCAAAUUUUAUUCAAGGGGUCGAACUGAAUAAACUUUGCAUUAAAACUACUUAAGAUCGGGAUGCCUAUUGUUUAGAUAUUCAUUCUUUCAAAAAUUAUUGGAUUUUACUAAGAGAAACAUUAUAUCGUGUAGUAAAAAGUAAGAGAAAUUCAUGUUCAUGUUGUCCAACCACAUAGUUUACAAAUGAUAAUAACAUGAUUUUUAUAUUUUCUAAAUACAUAAUUAAUUUGAAAUAGAAAAAGCAAGAGAAAUUCAUGUUUCAUGUUUCGUAACCACACAUCUUACUUCUCAUAUUUUACUAUUAGGUUACUUUUUCACGUGCAUCAAAUGCGAAUAUUACCUUAUGUACCAAGAAAAAGAUUAUUCAUUUUUCCUUAUCCAUCCAUUACCAUCGACGCCACUACAAAGAAUCGAAAUCAAAUACAACAAGAUCUCCUAAAAUUAUUAAUUAAAAAUAACAUUUAAUAGGAUAAUUAAUUUUUCGGUAUGUAAUAAUAACGCAUGGCCAUUAGGCUGAGUAAGAAUACAAAUGUAUUUAACAUUUUUUUUGAUUGUACAAUAAAUUUGUGUAGACGGUUCACCCUUAUAGUUUGAGAUAGUUUAUAUGCGUCCGUCCAAUUUGAAUAUUUUUCGAAGAUAAAUAUACAUAUAUUAAAUAUGUUAGUGUUGGAUAAAUCAGCUAACCGGAGUCUCAUAAUUCAGUUUUGUUAAACAAGGAGUACUUAAGGAUGGUGUAUCUCAUCUACUUAUAUUUGCUUUAGAAUCCGUUAAUUAGAUACCUUGUGCCAUUUAAAAAUAAUAUUAAAAAAAAAUAUUAAGAAAACAAUACAAAUCGCAUUUGUUAUUUCAAAAUCAAUUUUACAAUAAGAUAAUACUUGGGUUAUUGACACACAAAUCCAAAUCACAAAUACAAGCCCAGUGGGCUUUGCAUUUCUCUUAAUGUACCGCCACAUUCCUAGGUUACUACGACACUCUCACUAUAUAUUAAGAAAAAACGACUAUAAAAAAUCUCUCCGUCUCUACGCCGAUAUAGUGCCCAAAAUGCUGAAAUCAAUGGAUUCAUUCAAAGAUCUCCAAUGCCAGAGGCCGCCUCACGAACCUCCGCCGCAAAGGUAUUUUCCCUAAUUCCAAAAUAAAGUUUUUUUCGAUUAGAUUGCAUGCAAAGUUGAUUUGAGUAUAAAAUUUAUUGUUCUAGAGAUGAUAGGUUUAAUUUGGAGAAACAAAUUUAAGAUAUUCUUUGUUCUCCAUGUUUGGUUUGUAUGGCAAAUUUAUGUUUUUCGUACUGCAUUGAUUUGCAUUGAUUCAGAUUUUUAUGAAUCAAACAUUUAUGUACACUAGACUUUGAUUCAUAUCCUUUUUUUUUAAUCAAACAUUUAUAUACGUUAAGAUAUUUUGUAUUUCUCUCUUUGAUUCAUAAAAAAAAAAGAUCGUUGAUUCAGAUCUGCGUCGCAUUACGCUUCUUUUUCUCUUUGAAACCUUUAAAACGAUAUUACUUUGUUUUGGGGGUGCUGAGAUUUAACUAGAUCUCGGUAUCUGAAUUUUGUAAUUUUGGUUUUUUUUUACUGAAUGUUUGUUUAAUCCUAUAUUUAAUUGGAGGAUUAAGAUAUAUUACUAUUUUACCUUAUUUUUUACAGUAAGAUUAUUUUUGAAUAUAACCAUUUCGAUUUCUCCGUGUAACUAUGUAACCACAUGCCAAAUGAACAUUUCUUUGGUAGUUGUUGUUAUAAAGUUAGAUAUGAUCAAAGUUUACUAACUAUCUCUUUUCUUUUUAUUUUGUUGUUGAUAGAGAGAUGUAGAUUCAUCAGAGAUGCAUUUCGAACAAUAUUCGUAACGUCAGCGGCAUAAUGGUAAGAAAUAUUUUCUAACAAAGUUAACUUUUUUCUCGCACAAUGUUUCUCAAAAUAUGUAUCACGAUAAACGAAGUUUAUGAAUUUCCUCUCAUGUUUCUUUUGUUAUUGACUAACCAAUGAAGUUUUACCGGAGGGUAGAGGCAGCAUGAACAUCUUAACAGUGUUCUCGUGAGCGACGCAACAAUGGUAAAACGAAUCUUCUUGAGCAACUCUCUUUGGAAAGUAUAAAUCAUGUUUGGUACAAGUUAUUUAUGAACAAAACUUAAUUUAUUUAUGAUGAACUAUUUUCCUUGUUUUGUACGAUGUAGAAGUCAAUUAUGAUUUGAGUUAAUGAACUUUCGAUUUUAUUCUUAUUUUAUUGUUGAAUGAUGAAAGAGGUGUACCAAAUAAGCAUAUCUAG
This 4319-nucleotide long non-coding RNA is filed under the name Erythranthe guttata (spotted monkey flower). RNAcentral describes it as "long non-coding RNA (EGUT_LNC001951)". Lineage: Eukaryota; Viridiplantae; Streptophyta; Magnoliopsida; Lamiales; Phrymaceae. The record is from RNAcentral.